Molecule: ribosomal RNA, 649 nt
Filed under: uncultured Bacteroides sp.
Lineage: Bacteria; Pseudomonadati; Bacteroidota; Bacteroidia; Bacteroidales; Bacteroidaceae
Description: bacterial SSU rRNA
Rfam family: Bacterial small subunit ribosomal RNA
Source: RNAcentral
CAUUGGAGUAGCAUACUUCAGAUGGCGACCGGCGCACGGGUGAGUAACACGUAUCCAACCUGUUGCUUACUCGGGGAUAGCCUUUCGAAAGAAAGAUUAAUCCCCGAUGGUAUAAAGAGUUCGCAUGUUCUCUUUAUUAAAGAAUUUCGGUAAGCGAUGGGGAUGCGUUCCAUUAGAUAGUUGGCGGGGUAACGGCCCACCAAGUCUACGAUGGAUAGGGGUUCUGAGAGGAAGGUCCCCCACAUUGGAACUGAGACACGGUCCAAACUCCUACGGGAGGCAGCAGUGAGGAAUAUUGGUCAAUGGACGAGAGUCUGAACCAGCCAAGUAGCGUGAAGGAUGACUGCCCUAUGGGUUGUAAACUUCUUUUAUAAGGGAAUAAAGUGAGGGACGUGUCCCUUUUUGUAUGUACCUUAUGAAUAAGGAUCGGCUAACUCCGUGCCAGCAGCCGCGGUAAUACGGAGGAUCCGAGCGUUAUCCGGAUUUAUUGGGUUUAAAGGGAGCGUAGGUUGACGUAUAAGUCAGCUGUGAAAGUUUACGGCUCAACCGUGAAAUUGCAGUUGAUACUGUAUGUCUUGAGUGUACAAGAGGUGGGCGGAAUUCGUGGUGUAGCGGUGAAAUGCUUAGAUAUCACGAAGAACUCCGAUUG